UUAAGUUCAUGAGAUUCCGGGAUGGCAACUUUUUCAAGCUUUAUGGUAACUGCUAAAGUGCAGGUUUGAACUGAUCCACAAAAUGACCAUAAAAUUUGGGGUUUUAGUUCUCUGUGACUCUUGUGUGACACAGAGUGUGGGAGUAAAUGAGAUACUGAGACCAGCGGAAACCUUCUGUGUGGAGCUAUCUAAUGUCAUGCGAUCAUUGGUUAUCUUUCUUCUGACAUGAUCUCUCUGAGAAUCGAUCCUUCAUAUCAACAAGUGCCUCCUAGUCUCAAAGCAGAGGUGAAAGGCCCGCAGAACCAGCACAUCUAGCCGUGUUUCUGACCAAGCUUUUCCUCCAGCUGGUGAAAUCCCAGGGCAUAGAUGCAGCCCUCAGAAAUGAGCAAGGAGAGAGUGACAUACACGGAACUGAAACUCCCAUAUUCAAAGAAACAGAAGAACAAAAGACAUCCAACACCCAAAAAAAGAGAAUUUCCAUGGCGUGGUGUUGCAAUAAUCCUGGGAAUCAUAUGUUUUUUUCUCCUGCUGGCCAUCACAGGCUUAGGAUAUAUGUAUUUUUGGAACUCUUCUGAGGGCAAAGGACAAGAUAUAAAAGUUGUCCUUUGUGUCAAAGGAAAAAAAUACUUCCUCACCAGACGUUGAAGAUCACUCAGUUUUGCCGAGUUGUACCGGUAAAGACUAUGACCCAUGUCAAGAAAAAUGGUUCUGCUGUGGAAACAACUGUUACUAUUUUUCAAAAGAAGAGAAAACUUGGGCUGAGAGUAAGAUGUCAUACCAAGACCUAUGUUCUAGUCGUACUAAGGUUUAUGACAAACAGGAUCAGGAAUUUUCAGCAGACUACACCUAAUGCAAAAUGUGGACACGUCGUCAGCAAGUAUUACUACCACUGAUUGUACUCGAGAGUUUCAUUUCAUUUGUGAAAAGAAGUUUACCUGUCUUGAUAAUUAAAAAAUGACUAUAAUCAA
Equus caballus (horse) is the source of this 968-nucleotide non-coding RNA. The record is from RefSeq and is a predicted model, not a curated record. Lineage: Eukaryota; Metazoa; Chordata; Mammalia; Perissodactyla; Equidae.